AUGGAGAGUGAGGUGCUAACCCAGCAAGGGUGCCCUUUGCUGCUCAGUCAGCUGGACUCGGUGAAGAGAGGAGCAAGUAGCCCUGUCCCGACAUUGCCCCUGAUUUGCUCUUCUUGUAAAAAAAUCCCAUCUUCGGAUGGCAUCCAUCCCAGUGAGGAUGCUGCCUUCUUCUUGAUGGGAUCACGGCCCCUGGCCCUGCAUGGUGGCCCAGAUCCUCUCCUUUUUAGCUCCAGCCCUGAUUUUCAUCUUUUAGAGUGGCCCUCCUAUCCCUGUCCUUACAAGGUCCUGGGCAGUGGUGACAGUCCUUUCCAGAGCAUGCUUUUUCCUGGGCCUUCCUUGGGAUUUGAGCCAGUGUCAGCUGCUCCGUCAGCCGCCUGCCACAUCUCCAUCAAGAUCCUGAUAACCAAGCAGGGUGGAUGCCGUCCCAGAGCUGCUGUACCAGCUAAUCCUCCUUUGUUGCAACUCUGUGUACCAAGAACUCUUAGAGUCCUUCCUAAGUGCGUACCUCCUGCUGGGGGCCGGUCUCACCUUCGUCUGGUGCCAACGCAUGUGGCAUUACCUCCGGAUCCUCCCUGGACUGCAGCUGCCAGCAAAGCACCUUAGCCUGGGGCCUGUGGGAUGACUGAGGUUCACACAUCUGGGCCUGCCUACCUCCAUCCUUUGUAGGCUGAUCACUGUAUGUUUUGGUCUUGAAACGGGGGCACGAACUGGGUGACAGGGUCAAGAGCCACCUUUGACAGACCCUUUCCCCACGCGUGCCUCCUCGUCACACCAUUUUGCAUCCAGGCAGGGUCAGGGCCUAGUAACUCCUCCAACGUCUCUCGCUGGCCUGGGAGACGGGCUAAGGCACGUCUGUGAAUAAAAGAGCUUUUGUCCAACCCCAGUGCCUGUGUUGGGUCCCCCAAAGACAGAUGGUACCUGGGAUGGAGAAGAAGGAGGCGGGGAAGGUAGAGGAGCGGGAAGCCGGCGUCCAGGGAACCUGCCGAGCCGGGACAGAGGCUUCGGCUUCCCAGAACACUGUGCUCAUGACUUUGUCAGUGUUCUAACAUUUCCCUGGAGACUGAUUCCUCUGGUGCCCAAAAUAGGUCCCUGGCAUCCAGGUCCUUUCUGUCCAGUCCAGCUUCUCUCGAUUUCCUAACAAAUUUAAAGUCCUUGGAGUGGCUCCAGGGAUGGGUUCAUGGACCAGAACCCACACGCUUUCGGAGCAUGCACACAAGGUCCUUCUAGGCUCUGGCGCACCUGUCAGCUCCAGCCUCCUGGGCUUCUUUUUCUAGGGGAUAUAAGAAAAGUCUGGGCGAGAACAAAAAUGGACCAGAAGUGUUGGGCCAGAGCCCCUCUCUUUAUCUCUGGUGCCUUUCUUCUGAGUCAUGGGGUUCAGAGGAAGAAGGCCAAGGUCACUGGCUAAGCCUGGGAGGCAGAAACCUUCACCGACAGGCUGGAGGUCUGGCAAGAUCUUUCUUCCCACCCUGCG
This 1471-nucleotide long non-coding RNA is filed under the name Sus scrofa (pig). RNAcentral describes it as "lncRNA (ENSSSCG00050056448.1)". Lineage: Eukaryota; Metazoa; Chordata; Mammalia; Artiodactyla; Suidae. The record is from RNAcentral.